UAAUACGUAGGGACCAAGCGUUGUUCGGAUUUACUGGGCGUAAAGGGCGCGUAGGCGGCAAUUCAAGUCACUUGUGAAAUCUCUGAGCUUAACUCAGAACGGUCAAGUGAUACUGCUUUGCUAGAGUGCAGAAGGGGCAACCGGAAUUCUUGGUGUAGCGGUGAAAUGCGUAGAUAUCAAGAGGAACACCGGAGGUGAAGACGGGUUGCUGGGCUGACACUGACGCUGAGGCGCGAAAGCUAGGGUAGCAAACGGGAUUAGAUACCCCGGUAGUCCUAGCCCUAAACGAUGAAUACUUGGUGUCUGGAGUUUUAUUCUCCGGGUGCCGUCGCUAACGUUUUAAGUAUUCCGCCUGGGGAGUACGCACGCAAGUGUG
Molecule: ribosomal RNA, 376 nt
Filed under: uncultured bacterium
Lineage: Bacteria
Description: bacterial SSU rRNA
Rfam family: Bacterial small subunit ribosomal RNA
Source: RNAcentral